RNAcentral lists this unclassified non-coding RNA (345 nucleotides) under soil metagenome. RNAcentral describes it as "partial contains 5.8S ribosomal RNA, internal transcribed spacer 2, and large subunit ribosomal RNA". The stretch from base 1 to 120 matches the Rfam family "5.8S ribosomal RNA", at positions 35 to 154 of the family's 154-position model. The record is from RNAcentral.
GAUGAAGAACGCAGCGAAAUGCGAUAAGUAAUGUGAAUUGCAGAAUUCAGUGAAUCAUCGAAUCUUUGAACGCACAUUGCGCCCGCCAGUAUUCUGGCGGGCAUGCCUGUCCGAGCGUCAUUGCUGCCCUCAAGCACGGCUUGUGUGUUGGGCCUCCGUCCUCCUCCCGGGGGACGGGCCCGAAAGGCAGCGGCGGCACCGCGUCCGGUCCUCGAGCGUAUGGGGCUUCGUCACCCGCUCUUGUAGGCCCGGCCGGCGCUUGCCGACACAUCAAUCUUUUUUCCAGGUUGACCUCGGAUCAGGUAGGGAUACCCGCUGAACUUAAGCAUAUCAAUAAGCGGAGGA